GGAGGAAAGUAGGGGAUCGAAAGACCUUAUGCUUUUGGAGCGGCCGAUGUCUGAUUAGCUAGUUGGUAAGGUAAUGGCUUACCAAGGCAACGAUCAGUAGUUGGUCUGAGAGGACGACCAGCCACACUGGGACUGAGACACGGCCCAGACUCCUACGGGAGGCAGCAGUGGGGAAUUUUGGACAAUGGGCGCAAGCCUGAUCCAGCAAUGCCGCGUGAGUGAAGAAGGCCUUCGGGUUGUAAAGCUCUUUCAGUUGAGAAGAAAAGAUUGUAACUAAUAAUUGCAAUCCAUGACGGUAUCGACAGAAGAAGCACCGGCUAACUACGUGCCAGCAGCCGCGGUAAUACGUAGGGUGCGAGCGUUAAUCGGAAUUACUGGGCGUAAAGGGUGCGCAGGCGGUUUUGUAAGUCAGAUGUGAAAUCCCCGGGCUCAACCUGGGAACUGCGUUUGAAACUACAAGGCUAG
RNAcentral lists this ribosomal RNA (465 nucleotides) under uncultured bacterium. RNAcentral's name for it is "bacterial SSU rRNA". It matches the Rfam family "Bacterial small subunit ribosomal RNA", at positions 198 to 644 of the family's 1533-position model. The record is from RNAcentral.